GGAUGAUGGCAUAUUCUCUGAGAGAGACUAGUGGAACAUCAGACAGCCUGGACAGUGUGCAACAGCAGAUUCUCCAGAAAUGGAGAUGCCAUGUAGGCCAGAACUGCACUUCUGUGUCAUCACAGAUCUCAUGGUCAAAGAAUCAUUAAAACCAGUAUUAAAAUGACAGCUCUGUUUCAGAGUGUUUGUGAAACAAGAACACAGCCAUUAGACACCUCUUAGAAAGAGUAAUACAUGCACAAUGCAGGCUGUGGACUCCUCCACAGAGAGGCGUGAGAGACUUCUAUAAUGAAGUGCUCUUACCCCCCUUAAACAGUGUUUUUUGCACUCUUAAAUACUGAUCAGCAUCCAGGCCAAAAAUUCCCUGACUACAUUAUGAACCAUUACCAGGUCAAAGGAAUCUGAAUUCAUCAACCAUAAUAACAGCUUUAAAUUAUGAUGAAAGAGACAGUAGACUGAAUCAAGGGUCACAGCAGCUGAAAACCAUGCCACACAACAAGAUCAACAUAGACAGGACCUUUUCCGAUGAAAUAGAAGCCAGAGGCGUACAGCCCCUGUUCAAGGAAGUGAAACCAAAACCAGAAGUCACAGCAGUGCUGUGGGACUGCUGGGCACAGCUGCUGCCUGGCUCAGGGCUGCUCCCAAAGCCGGGCUGGCCACCAGUGCUCCGUCUGUGCUGGGCACUCCAUGAGGCCGAGGCUCUGGCACUGAGAUGGAGGCAGCAGGAUGCUUCCACAGCCACUGGCAGUGCCUGGCACCACAUCAGAAGAGAGCUUCAUUUGAAGGGAAAGAGUAUAGCUAUGGAUUUCUUGAGGUUAAUCACUAUAGGCAGCAACUAAUUUUUCUCAUGGCUGACCCUUCAAAAUGUACGCGGGGAAAACUGGAAAGUGCAACAGACUGUAGAAAUCUACUUCUCUGGGAAGUAAAGGUGAAUCUUUAAACUUCUGUAUUUCUUUUUCACCAAAGGAAGAUUAUUUACUUUUCUGGAAGUAAGAUGAGCUCAGUGUUGCAACUGACAUUCGCUGUAUUGAUUUCCAGCUCCC
Molecule: long non-coding RNA, 1043 nt
Filed under: Phasianus colchicus (ring-necked pheasant)
Lineage: Eukaryota; Metazoa; Chordata; Aves; Galliformes; Phasianidae
Description: lncRNA (ENSPCLG00000002615.1)
Source: RNAcentral